This 327-nucleotide ribosomal RNA is filed under the name Aphis cytisorum. RNAcentral describes it as "partial 12S ribosomal RNA". Lineage: Eukaryota; Metazoa; Arthropoda; Insecta; Hemiptera; Aphididae. The record is from RNAcentral.
UAGAUACCCUAUUAUAAAAAUUUAAAUUGAUUUACUAAAAAAUUAAUAGUUAAGUUCUUUAAAUUUAAAAAAUUUGGCGGUAUUUUAGUCUUAUUAGAGGAACCUGUUUAUUAAUUGAUAAUCCACGAUUAAUUUUACUUAUUUUAAUUAAUUCAUAUAUCGCUGUCAUGAAUAUAUUUAAAAAUUUAUUUUCUUUAUUUAUUUUUAUAAUUUAUGUUAAGUCAAGAUGUGGUUUAUAGAUAAGAAUAUAAUGGGUUACAAUAAAUUUAAUUUUUGGAUUUUAAAUGAAAAUUAAAAUGAAAUUGGAUUUAAUAGUAAAUUUAUUUA